CCUUAAGUUACAUCAAUGCAGAAACAGGUUAUAUAUCAAACUAUUAACAUUUGUAACAAGAGAUCAAGGUUCUUUUCAUAUUUUCAACUUCAUGCAUUUGUUUUUUCUGAUAAUUGUUUUUAAUCUCUACAUGUAUAAUAUGUAAAAUAUAAAUUAUUCAAUGAUUUCUUUAUAAUGUAUAUUGUUGAAAUGACAAUUGUUAGUAGAUCUUUUUCAUUUCCUACAAAUAAAACAAAUUAAAUCAAUUUGAUUAAAUAUGACUAAAUGGUACAAUCAGUUAAGUUUUGUACAGCUGAACAGGGUCAUCAUAAUCAUUUGUUAUAUUUACAUGUAUGUGUUGUGUUUUCAAUGGAACAAUCUAAAAUUACAUUUUACAUUAUACAAUUACAUAACUUGCAGGCUGGGACAUAAGUGGUGACUGUGAGAAUUACCAACAGUGUUUAAUAAUGAUGUGCAGUAUUAAUCCUGAAAAGGUGAGCACAACCACAAGAAGUUCUAGGAAACACAGGCAGAGGACUGAAAAUGGACAUCAAUAAAAGAAAUAGUAAUUUAAAUAAUCAGAAACACUUGAAACAAAUUUAAGAUUAAAACAGUUUCUCAUUGACAGAUUAAGAGCAAAAUAAUUGCUAAAAUUUAUAAGACAACCAGAACCUAGCUACCAAACCUGCAGCUAGAAAAAAAACUGUUUGUGCUAUAGUGAAUGUAGGAUGUUCUAUUCUGUAUUUGGACUAAAGGAUAUGUAUUAAAUUUUGUGAAGGAAAUA
This is a long non-coding RNA of Ruditapes philippinarum (Manila clam), 763 nucleotides long. RefSeq lists it as uncharacterized. Lineage: Eukaryota; Metazoa; Mollusca; Bivalvia; Venerida; Veneridae. The record is from RefSeq and is a predicted model, not a curated record. The transcript has 2 exons.